Molecule: transfer RNA, 71 nt
Filed under: Caulophacus iocasicus
Lineage: Eukaryota; Metazoa; Porifera; Hexactinellida; Lyssacinosida; Rossellidae
Description: tRNA-Arg
Rfam family: tRNA
About the family: Transfer RNA (tRNA) molecules are approximately 80 nucleotides in length. Their secondary structure includes four short double-helical elements and three loops (D, anti-codon, and T loops).
Source: RNAcentral
AUACUGGUAGUUUAAAUAAUAAAACACUAAACUUCGAACUUAAAAAUAUAGAAACAAAUCUAUCCAAUAUU